This 443-nucleotide ribosomal RNA is filed under the name uncultured bacterium. Its description in RNAcentral is "partial 16S ribosomal RNA". It matches the Rfam family "Bacterial small subunit ribosomal RNA", at positions 338 to 795 of the family's 1533-position model. The record is from RNAcentral.
CCUACGGGUGGCAGCAGUGGGGAAUAUUGGGCAAUGGGCGCAAGCCUGACCCAGCAACGCCGCGUGAAGGAAGAAGGCUUUCGGGUUGUAAACUUCUUUUCUCAGGGACGAAACAAGUGACGGUACCUGAGUAAUAAGCCACGGCUAACUACGUGCCAGCAGCCGCGGUAAUACGUAGGUGGCAAGCGUUAUCCGGAUUUACUGGGUGUAAAGGGCGUGUAGGCGGGAAAGCAAGUCAGAUGUGAAAACCAUGGGCUCAACCUGUGGCCUGCAUUUGAAACUGUUUUUCUUGAGUACUGGAGAGGCAGACGGAAUGCCUAGUGUAGCGGUGAAAUGCGGAGAUAUUAGGAGGAACACCAGUGGCGAAGGCGGUCUGCUGGACAGCAACUGACGCUGAGGCGCGAAAGCGUGGGGAGCAAACAGGAUUAGAUACCCGUGUAGUC